ACUGCUUAUAUUUUUGGUAGGGACUGUUAGGCAAACUUAGAGAGACAUGAGCCCAACAACUCUGGCUUUACCGUCGGCGGGGGGAGCAGCUUCAGCCUGUUCUCCCCUCAAUCGCCCCACGGCCCCAAUAUCUUCGGCUCUUCGUUGUGUAGAUAUCACCGCGAAUGCUACGAUGAUGUUGUCGAAGAAAUCUCUUGUAUCCCCUUCAUCAUCAUCGUCAUCUUCUUCUUCUAUUUCUUCGGCGGUGGUGGCUGCUGCUUGUACCAACGUUGAUAAUGGUGCGAUGAUGAUGAUUUGCUCCAUCAAAGGUCGCUACUGCUACUCAACUAUCCCCGCUAGUAUAAUGAUAAUAGGGAGGAGGAGGAAGAGGUUGAUUUCAUGCGAUAUAGCAUUGAGAUCCAGCAAUUCGGCGACACCAUCUUUAUCCUCGUCGUCAACAACAGUCACCCAAGGAGAAGAAGAGGGAGAAGAAACUGAUAAGAAGAUUGGGGCGAGGGUUAGAGUGAAAGUUCCCUUGAAGGUUUACCACGUGCCUCGGGUGCCCGAAGUAGAUCUGACUGGGAAAGAAGGUCAUCUCAAGCAGUACGUUGCCCUCUGGAAAGGCAAACGAAUAUCCGCCAAUCUACCUUACAAGGUGGAGUUCGUGGUGGACAUUGAAGGCCGUGGCCCUGUCAAAUUCUUUGCCCAUCUCAAGGAGGACGAAUUUGACUACCUUGAAUAGCAUUUUGCAAUCUCAUUUGCUUUGCUGCUUCUCCUGUCAGACCAGGCAAAUACUCCUCUCUUACCACUUCUUUAUAUUAUCUCUUCACCUAAUCAUACCCAAGCGUUGUGUGGUGUAGUGUUGUAUGUAGUUUACUUGCUUAAUUGUUGUUCUUAUUUUCUCUUUUUUUUUUUUUCUCAAUUGUUGUUCUUAUUUUCCCACCUUAUAUUCUUCUGUAUCUGUAUAAGAAUUUAUGCUGACCUGCUUCUUGGACAUUUGAUUUUGAGAUAUCCGUGAAGCAACAAUAUGUGAUCGAGAAAACGCUUCUCUCGAAUACGUUUUCCAUAUUUUAUUGUCCCGUGUUAUAUAAAUAAAUCAAUGCUCUUUUGCUGUUUCUCCAAGCAAUUUUUUCUUCAACCCAUUACUCAUGUGUGGUACUCCAUUGUUUUGUUUGGAUUGCUUGUUCCCUUUCCUUUUUAGUUUUUACAAUACUUACAAUUUAUGUGUACCUUUUCUUUUGUCAUUUCUCUGAGGCUUUGCUUCUAUUUCUGAAUACUGAAUUUAAAAUAUCUAUCUAUCCAUUUACAGAUUUAUGUUUAGACAAACAUCAAUGAUAUAAAUUAUGGCAUCAAGAGAGCGUUUGCUUAAUUGAGCUCUUAAUACGUUUUCACCAUUUUGCUGCAAGUAUAUGAUUUGGUAAUAUACUUUUAGUCCUACAGCGUUUAAUAUUACUCUUAAUGACGAAAAUGAGUGGAAUAUGAGUAUGCAUCAGCAAUUAAUUUUGCUGUAAUGGGAACUUUAUUGAAACCAAGACUGACUAUCUUCUUCCGUAUAGCUUCAGUUUCUGUUAGAAUAAACACUUCCUUCGUUCAUCUUUUUUCGUUCCACUGUAACUUACCAUGUUGGAUCACUGGUCAACAUGAAGCUAAUGCUGGCGGUCUUCAGGAAAAUCAUCCUUUGUGUGCCUGGUGUUCCAGCCAAUCCUGUUGGAUGGGCAGCAGUUUUGAAAGUUGCAGAUUUUGUCUUCUGGGCUUGAGCAUGUAUCCUGUUAUUGUAGUGUUGUCUUGAGAAAUUAAAAUUUUAAAGUCUUUAAGACUCUGCAGUUUUAUAUGUUGGACAAUAGGCUAAAGUUCUGGUCAUCUAAUGUUGAAGUGAUGAUCGUAAUCUAAUUUUGGAUAGUUCUAUGGAGCUAGAUUCUUUCAUAUGGCUGUCAAGUGCAAGCUCAAGUGGUUGGAAUUCAGUGACUGCAUCAGUGCAUAUUCAAGUGGUUAGAUUUGUUCAUAAUCUGUUCCAAGUAAAUUAUCAAAGUUUUCUUUCAGCCUAAUUGAAGUCCUCGUGUCACCCCUUGGUAAAUUGAAUGCUCCAAGUUCAGAGAUUUUUUGUCAUUUCUCUUGACAGAACAGAGCUUUUUGUUUUGACUUCAGACCCAUGAUUUUGGCAGUCAAUGACUUGUUCGACUUCACUUUAGUGUUGAUUCUGUGGUUCUUUAAACAUAAUUUCUCCGGCCUCCUCAAUUGACCAUCUUGAAGCUUUUUAUGUAUUGUGAGAGUUACAUUUCCUAACUGGUUAGUCAUUUUGGAGAGGUGGUCAAAUAUGUAGGAUAUGAUCUGUUUAUUUUGCAGCUUCUCUUUGGGCAUCAAUUACUUGUCAUGCUUUUCUAAUUCCAUUCUCUUUGGAUGCGCCUUCAUUGUAGGCCUUGUCACCACCAGCCACUAGGAUCUUUGAUGCAGACACCAAGGAAACUUCAUAUAUAGGUCAUGAUUACCUAAGCUUGUAAUGCUUUAUUAUUUAGUUUUUUAGUGAAUAAAAUCCCUGCAAUUGUGCUUCUUGAGUUGAAUGGUGUAAUUAUAGUUCUAGAAAGUUUGAGGCCUUCUCGAUAGGAAUAAGCCCCGGACGUGCUUUUGUUUGCUUACUAUUUCCUUUCGCGAAGAUUACAAAAUCUGCAGUCAUCUUCAAGCCAGAAUUUCCUGAGAUCGACAAUUUCACAGUUUUUCUUUGUUUUAAAGUCUUCCUAAUUGUUCUCAAUUACUUGUGCUGCUGAUACUUUGAGCAACGAAAGUUGAUGACUCGGUCCAUGUUGUAAUUCACCAAGGCACUUCCGGUUCUUAUUACCACUGUUUUGAGUUGGCCUAGUAGCUUAUGACUGGACGACUUAACAUGUUUUAUGUGAGAAUCUAGCUCCGUAUUAAGAUACAAUGCAAUAUAAUAAUUAUAUAUACCCCACAAAAUAUUUCUUUAAUAAAUAAUAAUGUGAGUUAUCAACACACCCAAAACAAUUAUAAUCCGAUCAAUAUAACGAAAUUUAACCCACUAUCAAGAGUACAAGAUAAAUUUCAUGGUAUUGAUUUGAUUUUUUAAAAAAAAAAAGAUUUUCUUCCAUGGGCUAAACCUCGAAAUAUUUGUAAAGUAAUCGCGAUGUUAAAUUAAUGAUGGGAAGUCGCAUUAAAAACAAAUGUUGAUAGACUCGAAAGUCUAUACUUGGACUUAGUCUGCUGCUUAAGUUUUUUAUUUGCUGUAAUAUUAUUCAUUUAUUAAUUGUCAUUUAAUAAGUCAAAUCAGUGCUUGAUUCUCUCAGCAGAUCAUGGCUAAUAUAUUUCAGAAAGUGCCGUUGGUGGCCUUAGAAAUAGGA
Molecule: unclassified non-coding RNA, 3329 nt
Filed under: Hevea brasiliensis (rubber tree)
Lineage: Eukaryota; Viridiplantae; Streptophyta; Magnoliopsida; Malpighiales; Euphorbiaceae
Source: RNAcentral